This 72-nucleotide transfer RNA is filed under the name Ictidomys tridecemlineatus (thirteen-lined ground squirrel). RNAcentral's name for it is "Spermophilus tridecemlineatus (thirteen-lined ground squirrel) tRNA". It matches the Rfam family "tRNA". From Rfam's summary of the family: Transfer RNA (tRNA) molecules are approximately 80 nucleotides in length. Their secondary structure includes four short double-helical elements and three loops (D, anti-codon, and T loops). Further hydrogen bonds mediate the characteristic L-shaped molecular structure. tRNAs have two regions of fundamental functional importance: the anti-codon, which is responsible for specific mRNA codon recognition, and the 3' end, to which the tRNAs corresponding amino acid is attached (by aminoacyl-tRNA synthetases). tRNAs cope with the degeneracy of the genetic code in two manners: having more than one tRNA (with a specific anti-codon) for a particular amino acid; and 'wobble' base-pairing, i.e. permitting non-standard base-pairing at the 3rd anti-codon position. The record is from Rfam by way of RNAcentral. Lineage: Eukaryota; Metazoa; Chordata; Mammalia; Rodentia; Sciuridae.
GGUGAUGUGGCUCAGUGGCAGAGCGCUUGCCUAGCAUGUGUGAGGCUCUGGGUUUGAUUCUCAGCACCACAU